This 246-nucleotide ribosomal RNA is filed under the name uncultured bacterium. RNAcentral describes it as "partial 16S ribosomal RNA". It matches the Rfam family "Bacterial small subunit ribosomal RNA", at positions 524 to 769 of the family's 1533-position model. The record is from RNAcentral.
UACGUAGGGUGCGAGCGUUGCCCGGAUUUAUUGGGCGUAAAGGGCGCGUGGACGGCGCUCGGCACGUCCGUUGUGAAAUCGCCCGGCUCAACUGGGCGGGGUCAGCGGAUACGGUCGAGCUUGAGCAAGCUAGGGCAAGUGGAAUUCCCGGUGUAGUGGUGGAAUGCGUAGAUAUCGGGAGGAACACCAGUGGCGAAGGCGGUUGCCUGGAGCUUUGCUGACGCUGAUGCGCGAAAGCGUGGGAGC